GUGGGGAAUAUUGGACAAUGGGCGAAAGCCUGAUCCAGCCAUGCCGCGUGUGUGAAGAAGGUCUUCGGAUUGUAAAGCACUUUAAGUUGGGAGGAAGGGCAGUAAGUUAAUACCUUGCUGUUUUGACGUUACCAACAGAAUAAGCACCGGCUAACUUCGUGCCAGCAGCCGCGGUAAUACGAAGGGUGCAAGCGUUAAUCGGAAUUACUGGGCGUAAAGCGCGCGUAGGUGGUUUUGUAAGUUGGAGGUGAAAUCCCCGGGCUCAACCUGGGAACUGCCUCCAAAACUACAUGACUAGAGUACGGUAGAGGGUAGUGGAAUUUCCUGUGUAGCGGUGAAAUGCGUAGAUAUAGGAAGGAACACCAGUGGCGAAGGCGACUACCUGGACUGAUACUGACACUGAGGUGCGAAAGCGUGGGGAGCAAACAGGAUUAGAAACCCGUGUAGUCC
This 450-nucleotide ribosomal RNA is filed under the name uncultured bacterium. RNAcentral describes it as "bacterial SSU rRNA". It matches the Rfam family "Bacterial small subunit ribosomal RNA", at positions 354 to 796 of the family's 1533-position model. The record is from RNAcentral.